UAGCCUCACUGUGAGUAGUCAUACCAUCACAGGUUAAAGGAUCAUUCACACAACUAUAGCAUCGAGACAAUCACUGAUGAUCGAGUAGAAAUUCAAGUGAUCUCUCGUAUGGUCAAGCUCAGCACUAGUUGUUCUCUAACAACUACCCGCACUCAUCGCUCAGUGUCUCUAUAAUGUAGACCAGAGAAUCAUCUGCCCCG
Molecule: long non-coding RNA, 200 nt
Filed under: Elaeis guineensis (African oil palm)
Lineage: Eukaryota; Viridiplantae; Streptophyta; Magnoliopsida; Arecales; Arecaceae
Description: long non-coding RNA (EGUI_LNC012506)
Source: RNAcentral